RNAcentral lists this ribosomal RNA (429 nucleotides) under Chloroflexota bacterium. RNAcentral's name for it is "Chloroflexi bacterium partial 16S ribosomal RNA". It matches the Rfam family "Bacterial small subunit ribosomal RNA", at positions 355 to 776 of the family's 1533-position model. Lineage: Bacteria; Bacillati; Chloroflexota. The record is from RNAcentral.
UGGGGAAUAUUGCACAAUGGGCGCAAGCCUGAUGCAGCCAUGCCGCGUGUGUGAAGAAGGCCUUCGGGUUGUAAAGCACUUUCAGCGGGGAGGAAGGCGAUAAGGUUAAUAACCUUGUCGAUUGACGUUACCCGCAGAAGAAGCACCGGCUAACUCCGUGCCAGCAGCCGCGGUAAUACGGAGGGUGCAAGCGUUAAUCGGAAUUACUGGGCGUAAAGCGCACGCAGGCGGUCUGUCAAGUCGGAUGUGAAAUCCCCGGGCUCAACCUGGGAACUGCAUUCGAAACUGGCAGGCUAGAGUCUUGUAGAGGGGGGUAGAAUUCCAGGUGUAGCGGUGAAAUGCGUAGAGAUCUGGAGGAAUACCGGAGGCGAAGGCGGCCCCCUGGACAAAGACUGACGCUCAGGUGCGAAAGCGUGGGGAGCAAACAGG